Molecule: ribosomal RNA, 200 nt
Filed under: uncultured bacterium
Lineage: Bacteria
Description: partial 16S ribosomal RNA
Rfam family: Bacterial small subunit ribosomal RNA
Source: RNAcentral
ACGCUCGACACCUACGGGAGGAGCAGUGGGGAAUAUUGCACAAUGGGGGAAACCCGUGAUGCAGCGACGCCGCGUGGAGGAAGAAGGUCUUCGGAUUGUAAACUCCUGUUGUUGGGGAAAAAGAGGAUGGUACCCAACAAGGAAGUGACGGCUAACUACGUGCCAGAGCGCGGUAUACUGAGCGGGCGUGGCGAAGGACG